This 607-nucleotide long non-coding RNA is filed under the name Homo sapiens (human). Its description in RNAcentral is "HSALNT0026873". Lineage: Eukaryota; Metazoa; Chordata; Mammalia; Primates; Hominidae. The record is from RNAcentral.
GAUGGGUUUAUAAUGGGCUUUUCCCUGCUUCACUCAGCACUUCUCCCUCAUGACACCAUGUGAAGAAGGAUGUGUUUGCUUUUCCUUCCACCGUGAUUGUAAGUUUCCUGAGGCCUCCUCAGCACUGUGGAACUGUUAUGCCAUAACAAGCAAAGAUUUGUGGAUUUGUGAGACAUAAAAAUGUUUAUGAUGUGCAACUCUAGCCACCAGGAGCCAACAUUCUUUCAGUGGAUAAAAAGGAGUUCCAAUACUUUUUCUUACUAAGGAAAUGGAUUGCAAGGGAUGGUGAAUUAUUAAAAUAGUAAGUGUCCAAUGAAUGUUUGUCAAUUGAAGUCAAACUGUUCUGAGAAAUAAUGACAAGGCAUCAUUCUGAGGUUUAAUUGGAGAAGUCUUGUCCCAAACUCCACUCAAACGUGAAGGAAGGGCAGUAUAACCCAGCAGUUAAGAGCAUUCACUUUGGAAACAGCCAUAGUUGGGACAGAAUCCAGUCUUUACCACUGACUAACUAAAGGACACUAAAUUUUAGAGUCUUCUUCCUGGGCAUAAUACUUGUGAAGUGAAAUCAGGCUUGCAAAGUGCAAGGUCUAUGUUUGUUUUGUACAUAGUA